RNAcentral lists this long non-coding RNA (376 nucleotides) under Homo sapiens (human). RNAcentral describes it as "non-protein coding lnc-SNTG2-4:4". Lineage: Eukaryota; Metazoa; Chordata; Mammalia; Primates; Hominidae. The record is from RNAcentral.
GAACCCAGAGAUGCAGAUGCCCCACUCACUCCGAUAGAGAAUCAACCCCAUCCCACAUAAAAUAGAACCCAGAGAUGCAGAUGCACCACUCACUCAGAUAGAGAAUCAACCCCACAUAAACUAGAACCCAGAGAUGCAGAUGCCCCAUUCACUCAGAUAAUCAACCCCACAUACAACAGGACCCAGAGAUGCAGAUGCUCCACUCACUCAGAUAGAGAAUCAACUCCACAUACAACAGGACCCAGAGAUGCAAACACCCCACUCACUCAGACAGAGAAUCAACCCCACAUAAACUAGAACCCAGAGAUGCAGAUGCCCCACUCACUCAGAGAAUCAACCCCACAUACAACAGAACCCAGAGAUGCAGAUGCCCCAC